ACUGAAAGAUGUCAAGUUUGCUACGUCAGCUAUGUAAUGGUUAUUACUAGAAGAUGUUGUGCUUUUUGCUGUGGAGGCUGCAUCAAUCAUACGACCGCUCAAUCCUUCCCAUAUUGAUCUGAACUCUGUUGGAUUUGAAUAGACAUCUCUAGUGUUUACCUGAAAACUAGACGGGGCUAGAUCUGCAGAUCCUAAGAAAGAAGUGUUGGAGUAGCGCACAAGGCAAAGUAUGGGCUCACCUGGCCAUGAAUAAGCUUCUGUUUGGUUAGCACAACCCUCUAUCAAACCAUCAGAACCGGUCUUGAUACAAGCAGAACAGUCCUCUGAAGUUGAUCCUGGGAGGCACAUCCCUAUUGUGUAUACCCGGUUAGGUUCUUGGCCGAUGGAACCGCUGAAGAAGAAACCCUCGUGAGCUGUGACGUUGGAAGGAAGAGAAGAGCGGAUGAGACGGCGGUUUACAUCGUAAGUACUGUUGGGAGUGAAAUACCCUCUGUUCAUACAUUGUGCUGAAACAGAAUCAACACCAAAGGUUACGAGGACAAAACAGAGAAUUGAUAUCAAACUCCUCGGCUUCAUUUUUUUUUUCUUGAAACUUGAAAGAUGAUAAUAGCAAAAGCAAAAUCUUUGUCUUUAAAGUGUUCACGCAUCUUCUGUCCCGUUUCUUACAAGCUUAAACAUAAAAAUCAAGAUGUCCGUGUCUCUCCAUAAUUUCUAGUGUUGAACUCGUCAAACUGAUAAUAGCGAUCCACCCAAACCUUCAAGUGGGGUCACAAACACGUUAAGUCAAUAAGUCAAAGUCAUUAAGAAUGUUGAAUUUUACAAAUGUAAUUAUUGUUCGUUCUUUCUGAUCAUAAGAAAACAAAAAGCACGUAUAAUCUCCAAAACAAUGAGUCUUAACGAUAGUUUCUACUUUUUUCGCUCGACCAUCCUCUGUUUUUUCCUUACACUCAUAAUAGUUGUUGUUCUCGUCUCUGAACAACAGUGCUCGGACAAAGGAUCUUCAGACCAAACAGCAAUUUCAACAAGAACCGUUUUUUUAGGCAGUGACACAAAAUUUCCACAUGCUUAGAAAUAUCAUCAACUAAUCAGUAAUGAUUUUUAGUAAUAAGUGUUUGGAAGUUUGCUGAGUCUAGUUUUAAUCAAAGCCGCUCAUAUGAAGUAAUGGAAACGGAAAAUCAAAGAAGAAACAGUAAAAGAGCUCUAGGAUCAUGGAUGAUGUCACUGACGAUGAGAUGAAUACAAUGCGUUGCAACAGAGUCCGUAGCUUAUUCCUUUAUUUACCCGUUACAAAAGUGUGUAAUUUAAAUUUAUGCUACAAAAACAACCUACUGAUUCUUGUAAUGUUGUAUAAGAAACGCCCACCGUGGGGCUCGAACCCACGACCACAAGGUUAAGAGCCUUGCGCUCUACCAACUGAGCUAGACGGGCUUCUGAUUGCAACUUGGUGUACACUAAAAUAGCCUUAACUACUUUACUGAUCUUAGUAUCUCACACUCUAUUGAACUGUUCUAAAUCAACAUUGCUUUACCCAAAUGAAGAAUGCUCUUUUACAGCUAAAAUCUAUGGAUAACACUAGAGUUUCAAAUCACGGAUUCAAAAUACAAAGUCAAACAAUGAAAAAAAAAGGAUAAAGGCGAAUUAAAAAAAAAACUAAAGUACCCUUUAUUUUGUGAGUCUUGCUUAGAUUGUACCGUAUCACCUCUAAGCUGCUUCUGCUUUUAUCACCUUGUAGAAACCAGAACAAAUGUGAGGAGUUUCAGGUUUACUAAUCCAAUAUCUCUCCUCCACUCUGCUUGUUGCUCUUCUUGGAAUCUUCCUUAAUCUGCAACUCAUAAGAUUAUAGCAUUAAGUAGUGGAGGAGUAUAUGCAAAUAAAAACAUUAAGAAACAUAUCAUAAUUAUCUCAUUAAACUAGGACAUAGAGACUACAUUUAUGGUUAUCACAAGACAUAAGCUAGUUGUACAAGUCUCGGUUUGGGAAGUAUUUAUUUUACCUGCUGAAGAAGCUUCUUUUGUAAUCUGUAACCCUGAUGGAAAGUAAGAAUGAUACAACCACAUUGUCAAUGCUUAAACUAGAAAGGAGAAGUGAAAUUACAAUAUACUCACUUUGUCAGUUCCAUAGAUGUAAUCGCAGUAAGUGAAAACUGAAGGAAAGUUACUCUGGCUUUGUCCUCCAACGUAAUGAUGGUAAUCAUGAUACUCAGCUCCACCGUAGAACGGAAUGUAUUUCGUCAGAGUUCAAGGAAAAUCAUACCUGCAAAGUAAACAUCAUAUUGUACAAUUACUCCAAACGUUGUAUCAAGAAGAGAUUCUUAUUAUUUCAAUGGCUUCAAUUUGGCGUAAAGCUAUCCACAACCAUAAGGUUCGAGAUUCAUCAGACAAAUCUCGAUGCAAUAAAAAAACCACCCACCAGCCAACGAUCGAGACUUUAUUACCUGGAUCGAAGGAUAAGAAACGUAAGGGGGCAACGACGAGGAUAAAUAUCUUCAUGACGUCUCUGUAACAACGGAACAUGUCGGAGAAUGAGUUCUUGACCUUAGGCUGAAUCUUGUACCGAUCGAACCAGCCUGAAACGGACGCGAAAGAUCAAUGAACACGAGAGGGAGAAGAUGAGGAAGAGGAAGAGAAUGUUGUGGCAGUAGAGGUAGUAAUCUGACUUUGUGGGGAGUAUUCGAACAAAACUGUCUCGAGUCUCGUGAGGUUUCUGCCUAACGCCAUCGACGCCUCUUCGAUGGUUGCAUACUUGCAUAAGGGAUCAUUGUUAGAUGAUGACACUCGUUUUUUUGGUGACAGCGAUGGCGUCAGAUUGAGAGAGAAGAAGAGUGUGUCGUCGUUGUUAGCUGGAUUUUAUCUGUUAUAUAACUGGUCUGGCGAAUAUUUGGACUGAUGACGUGGCAUGAUCUUUUUUAUUAGAACAACUGUGAUGUCACUUGACAUGUACUUGUGGAACAUAAUCAAACCGAAAUCCAUUAAUAUAAGAUAUUUUCAGGUAUUAAUAUAAACUUUAGUUUUAUCAAAAAUAUAUAACUAAUUGUAUCUUACUGGUUUUAGUAAAAAAUAAAUUUAAUAUACUUGGGAUGAUAAUUUUGGAAAGGAAAAAAAAAUUAUUCAAUAUGUAUGUUUUAGGAUCAUACAUUUGGAGUAUAUUACAAAAGUUUGAUGUAAUACAGUAUAUUUCUCUGUGUUUCAAAAAAAAAGAUAUAGGUUUGAAAUAGCCUAUUUCUUUAGAUUUCAAAUUUUAUUUACCAGUUAUAUGGAAAAGAAAAUAAACUGCAUUCCAUAAAUUAUUUUGGAAUAAGUGGAAACAUAUGGAAUCAGGAUAAAAAAUUAUACGUGAAUGAGAUGGAAUCAUUGGAAUGGAACACAAUUAAAUUUUAAAAUUAUUUUAAUUAAUUUAAACAUUAGCUAACUUAUUUAUGCAGUCAAAUAGUAGAAUUGUUAAGAUUUUAAAAUUCUGGUAGAUUUUUAUUAUUUGUCGCUAAUUCAACAAAGUUAUAGCAACAUCUUCUUUCCGAUUUAAGCAUUUUUACGUUUGAUUAUCUUUUUUCUUUUUUUGAAACACAUGUUUGAUUAUCAAACCAUCAAAUGAAAAGUUGCUUCUCUCCUAGCAUUCUAUCUCCUUCAUCAUUUUUAUAUUAUAUAUUAAUUUUGUAUUUUUGAUAAAUGAAUGAAACACUUCCUCCACGCUUAUUUAUCUUUUCUUUCUUGAUGAACUAUGAUUUAUACCCACAUAAUUAUAUAAUUUUUCUAUCGUUGGUUAAAUAUGAGAUUCUUUUAGCAUUCAUUUUGAUUCACUCUAAUCUAGAAUAUUAUAGUAAUUAAGUUAAGUAGUGCAUUUGUAUGUUCGAUAUAUUUUAUUAGCAUACUGAAAAUAUUCUUAAUAAUUUGAUUUAAAUUAUAGUUACUUUCAUUCCAAUCUAUUCCUCUAAAAGGUUACCAUUUACUUCACCAAAAUGUUAUCCUAUGAUUACUCAUUCCAUUUUGUUUUAUUCCAUAACCUCCUUCAUUCCGAUCCAGAGUAUUCCUAAUUUUUGUUACCAGUAUAUUUCUCUGUAAAGUACAUUACAUUGCAUGACUUCCAAAUUCUUAACACUCUAGAAAUCUCACUAAGUAGUCUAUAAUGAUAUAUAAUUGCUGAUAUAUGUUUUAUACCGACACACAUUUUAUGUUGCAGAGUUUAUCAGGUUCAAAUCAUUGAUUUGGAGUUUAGGAUGAUCAAUCAACAUCGGUGUGAAAGAGAUUGUCUACGGUUUAUGAUAACAAGAACGUGUAGCUGGUCAAGUGAUUGGGGAACAAGAUUAAACUUCUACUGGUACAUCCAAGAAUGCAAGAAACCAAAUUAAAAAAAAAAAGUUGAAAAACAAACCUAAUUUAGUACACACCAACAUAAAACCUAAACCUUGAGAGAGAGAAGUCUAAACCGAAAUAAAGAGGAUCCACCACUUCUUUUGAGGAAGAAAUCAAGUUAAAGUGAUGUUAAUGUCAUGAGAGGGCUUGUGUCUUGGAUCAGAAGCUAAAGUUGGUGUCCAUGUACCGAUCUGGUGAGAAGACGACGUAGGACGGAUGGUUCCAUGAUCAGCUGCAUUCGAAGUGGUUGGCAUUGGAGACGACACGAAGUUGUGGUUCUGCUUCCUCGGAUUCUGAUCUUGCUGGUUCGUUCCAGCUAAGAAGCUUCCUACUACCACCUGAAUAGGAGUGGCUGCGACCAACAAACCAGCGACUCCACCGCCUACUACACGUCCAUCAGGACUAGCUAGCGACACGGUCAUUCCACCUGUUCUGCUCCGUGUCCCGUCCGAGUCACUUGGCAUGAAUGAUCCCGACAGUGAUAAUAUCUCAAACCGACCCUUUACAAAAACCACACAUAAACAACGGUCAAGAUCUACAAAGGUGACAUGAAAUGAGAGAAGUAGGGAUACGCAAUCUGAUUAUCUUCUUGAAAUCAUUGGUACCUCGUAUGUCAAUGUACCACCAGAUGAAUCGGGCUGACGAAGUGUGACGCUUGAAACGACACCGUUUGCGCAGAGAACGCAAAUAGCGAGAGACCCUUGUUGAGAAAACGAUAUUAUCUUCUUCGUUACGUCCUAUAACCACCACCAAAUCAUCAACUACCAUUCCAUUUUAUGUAAUGAAUUAAAUAUAUUAAUAUAUAAAUUGUCCUGACCUCGCCUGCGUUCACCGUAAUUAUAUGCGGCGUGAAAUUAGCGCCGGCCGAGGAAGGAGCCCAUUCGCCUUCAAAAAACCACAACAAAAAUACAUGUAAAUAUACUGUAUAUGUAUAUGUAUACGUAGAUGGCCAUAUACGUACGGACAAAACAAAAGUCGUGUUCUAAGUUAAAGAGGUCCCACUUGAAAUAGUAGACCUUUUCUUUUCUUUUCUUUGCAUGUUUUAGCUUAAGACCCAGAAAGAUCCGAAAAAAAAUCUAUAUCUAACUUUGAAGCCAUGGGAACUCAGAUUCAGUAACACGAUCUAGACAAAAGUAUAUUUUUAACCAUAAAAAUUAUUACCUAAAUUCUCGACUUGGUACUUUGUCCUGAUGAAGGAGCUCGGAGUUGCUGCUGGUUUCACUUUGCCGCGUUUCUCAGAUGCAGAGAAAUCGAUGACGUGAGAGGUCGUUGGUGCGGCUGAAGAUAUCGGAUUCGGUGAGAGCGCCACCGGUGCUCCGUCGUGUCCGUACUUCCUAGGACGUCCACGCUUCUUCUUCAUGGGUCCGCGGGAGAAACCUUCAGUUGUUGGCGGCGGCGCAGUCGGAGCAAAGGAAUUUUGAGGAGGAGAGACGGAGGCUGGAGGUGGAUUUGAAGUUUCUGACCUCGGAGCCAUGUGGAAGUCCGACGGCGCGUUGGAUCUCACUACCAUAACGCCACCGUCGCUCACGUCGGAUGUCCUAACAACUUCUCCGGUAGACUCCAUAUCUAGAAGAUUAUUACUUAUUUUGACAAACUUAAUAUAGAUUUUGGGACAGAAGAUUUAAUUUUCCAAAUCUAAAGCUUAAAGCAUUCAACAAAUUAAAGAAGCAAUACCAAAAUAAGAACAAUAACUUUGUAAAAUAAAUCAGCUUAAAAAUCAAAGAGGAAGAAAAUCAUUCAGAAAUACAUGAGAAAAAAAAAUAUUUUCUUCUAGGAAAUAUUGUUUCUAAGAAUUUAAAGACUGGUAAUUAUUAGGAUGAAAUUAGGAAAUGUUUGAGAGGAAAGUGAGGAAAAUUAGGUUUAUUUAUGCUGUAUGGUUUAGAUGGAAAAAGAAAAUGAAUAUAUUUUGAUUUUGAAUAUGGAAAUAUCAUGAUUAAAAAAACAUUUACUUUAUAUUUUAAUAUUUCGGUUCAGGCUUUCAGUUCAUUUCCUUCCUAACUUUUUCCUUGUCUGUCCGUUUAUAAUUUAAUAUUGAAUAAAUUAAGUAAUCUCGAAAAGAAAAUGUAUGUUUGGUAAAAGGAAAUGUAUUUAAUGGAGCGUUAUAAAUUAUACUACACCUCACAUUAAAUUUAUAUUUUAACUUUCGGAGAAAAUGAUAUUUUUUUGGCAUAUAUAGAAAUUCGUGUUUUUAGCUGGAAUCCGAUGGGAAAAUUAAUAAAUUAAAAGAGAGAAUAAAUAAUAAAUAUUAAGUAGAAAAACUGAAAGUGGGUGAUACUAAUUUGAAUUUCUCUUGUUUUGAAUUAUAUAUUAUAAAAGACAGAGGUGGCCUGCAGAUAAGAGUUGUUUAUUUCUUUUCUUUUCUUUUUGACAUCAAGAGUUGUUUAUUUCAUUAGCCGUAUUUUUUUCACUAUUGUUUGUAAUGUCUAGAUUUUAAAUCUAGCAAAAAAAACAAAAUAAUGUAGGACACAAAUUCUAUAAAUACUGUCUUUUAAUGUUUGAAGUCAUUUUAUGCUAAGUUCAAAUUUAAUUUCUUAGAACAUCCUCAUGCUAAAAUUUCCAAUUACACAUGUACUUUGUUUUAGUAACCCUCAAAGACUAGCAAAUUCUACAUUAAAUAGUUGUCGUUGUUCUUUUUAGAUGAUCCCAGCGUUUUGUCCUCAAUCUUCUCAAAAUUUUAAGUGUCUAUGGCCUAUGAUUACAUAAUCUUGUAUUGAGUUUGGCAUAUUCUCCAACAAAAACUUACAAAAAAAUGAAAAGAAAAGACGUUCACGAAAAGAAGAAGUACGUAUCUUUUUGUAAGAAGAACUACUUAGAUUAUUAGUUAUACCUCUGUUCAUUCAAGCUCAUACUGCGAUUUAGCUAAUUUGAAAUUUAACAUCAUCUAAGAAUAGUAUAUAUUGUUUUAGGUGUAAACAUGGAAAUUUGCACAAAAGAAAUGCUGCCGUGCAUUUUUAGUUAAACUCUUUAACGGAUAUAGUAUGGAAAACAAUUCAUGGCAAUUUACAGGAUUAAGCGGCAGUUAAUAUAUAUUCUGAAAUAAGAAAGUAAGUUUAUAUGUAUAAAAAGGUGAUUAAACAUGCUGGAUAUGUGGGCGGUGCUCCGGUUCGGUUUCUCUAGAUUUGCUCCGGGGAAGUUUAGAUCCGUGGCUUGGGGCUUCUGUUCUGGAGUUUCGGCACGGCGGUGAGGGUUCUUGGGCUGCCGGAGUCGGCUUUUAGGGUGAACGUUUCGGUGGAUCUAGGUUUUCUCCUUCUCGGUCCUUUCGAAGCUUUCUGUGUUGUUGGCAGGUGGGUUCGUCGGCAUCUCUCUCCUCCAGUUCGGUAAGUGCUUUUUGCGAGGUAGUCUUCGUCGUGGAGAGGAGUCCUGGCUUUCUUCCUUUCCCUUGCUUGGCGUCUCGCAUCGGAAGGGGGUUCGCUCUUGGCUCAAGGGAGGUGAUAGAUUUCUUCUAUAGGUUCGUCCACGGAGGUCCAAUGGCUGUGUGGUUGUCGAGCUUCUGUGACUCCAUGUCUGCAACUUCUUCCCGGAUGGUUGGUUUGUCGUCUAUGGCUUUUUCAAACUUCCGGUUUGGUGGUUGCUCUCUCUUUGUUGUUGUGUCCCAUCUCUUGUGUCCAGCCGUCUCUGCCUCUUCUGAGGUCGCGAGCUCUCAGUCCUUCUUCGUGGGCCAUUCUUCAUUGUCGAGUUCUCCGGCUUUUUCCGACGAAGCGCAAUGGAGACCGGAGUUAGGUUCUCUGCCUUCGGGGCAAGACGUCGAUUUGAAGUGUCAGUGUGUCAUCUGUCUCUCCUUCGGCGAUGGAGACUUGUUUCGAAUCUGUUCAUCCCUGUGCCUGAGUUGCCGAUGGUGUGAUCAGGUAGAACUUUGUUGUUCUCUAUUGCAGGUUCUGGUGUUCGUUAUGGUUGGUGCCUCUUCGCAGCCUGUUUUGUUCGAAUAAGGUGUUCAGGUCUUCAGGUGGUACGUGUCCUCGACUUGUGCUUUCCUUGGAGGCUUGUUAUGUUUGCUCGUCCUUGGCUUUGCUGGUGCUUGGCCGCAGGUUUUUGCUGUCUGAUCGUCGUGGUUGUAGUUUAGAAGGACGUCUGCGAGCUGUUUUUGGGGGAGUCUUAUCAUAAAGAGCGGAUCAUCGGGCAAGCCAAUUUCUACCGGGUUCCGACUCUCGAUUUCACUGUGGCUUCUACUUCUGCGGCAAGCAGGUUGUUUCGACUAGGCGAGGCCAGUGGUAAGCCGUGUCUACUUGUUGUGUCGGCCCAAAUCAGUCUAGGUCGAGUCUCUGUUUAGUUGUACCUUUGUUUCAUCCGCUUCUCGUUUCCUUUGUAUUUCUGUCAAAAAUUGAAAAAUUGGUAAUAAUAUCUUAACAUUUUUACCAAAAAAAAACAUGCUGGAUAUUUCCAAUCACUGCACUGCGUAUACUUGUUAUGCAUAUAAACCGACUAAUCUCUUUUUUUUUGCUAAAUAUAAACCGACUAAUCUCGGGUUCGAGGAGUAAAUAAUUAGUUAUGUUAGUGUUGUUCAUAUUGACCCGCGUGUAACGGCGUAGGACUGAAGUUUACGUAUUUGUUAAAGAUGUUGAGUACAAUUCCUUUUAAGAACAAUCGAACACUACAUGGGCUUCUGCACGAGUUCCUUAUCACGGCAGGUAGCGAAAGGACCUGCUCAUCUCCGACGAGCUUGACCCGGAUUACGGUGCUGAACAAAAACAAAGGCUUUGUCUGGGAUAGCUAAAAUUUUAUAUGUUUUCUUAUGCUUGUGUGCAAUGGAGGGUUUUAUUACAUGUCCCUUUUUUUUAAGGUUUAGCUCAAUUUGCUCUCUACCAAACUAAGUUAUGUCACCUUGAGUUACGAGCACUAAUUUUAUGAUAAAAAUUAUAAGAGGAGUAUGUUUACUGUAACUGAAUAUAUGUUUAUUGUAUAUUUUUCUUUGUCAACAGUAUUAGUUUAUUUUAUUUGUAUUUAGUUGCAAUCUUUUCACAUGUUUAGCUCACAUUGAUAUCUACCAAACUAAUUAAUGAUAUCUUCAAUUAUAAGCAAUUUGUUCUAAUAUAUAGAUAUACACACAUAUUUUAUCAUUUUCUUUGCCGACAAUUAUAGUUUGCCACUUUAUGUGCUAAUAUAAACACACAUUAGUAUAUGAUAAAAUAUACAAGAGAAAUAUUUUUUCCCGGUUUGGCUACUUUAUUGUUUGAAUAAUUUAGAAAAUGGAAGUAAUCAUGAAUCAUAAGUAUUUAUAAUUUAUAUUUAAAACCGAAUAUAAUGUAAAUCGGGACCACAAAAGCAUUGACCCUUAUAGCUAUAUUAACACACCUAAUUUGUCAAAAGCAAUAAGAUAAUUAAGAAAAUAAAGAUUAGAUAAGAACCACGUAUUUAUAGUAUUAAUUUAUUUAUUUUUUCCUGUUAGAAUACAAUUAUUUUCUUAUAAAUAUUCCGAUGUGCCUUUCACGGCAAUUUUGUGUUUGUUCAGAAAUCCACAGUCUUCCCUUUUUUAAUCUUUAACAACAAAUCAAAAUUAGUAGAAUGCGGACCAAUAAACAAUUAGAGUACAAAAUUCUAAGGCAACAAGAAGGAACCAUAAUUAAAGGUUACUAUUAAAUAUUUAAUCUCCCCGUUCCUAAUAAAUCCAUAUUAUAGUUUUUUCACACUUAUUAAAAAAAUAUUUAAAAUUGUAUUUUCUAAUACAUUAUUUUUCUUAAUUAAUUAUUUCCAAUAACUUUUAACCAAUGAGAUUUUAUUAAACAUAGUUGUAUUUUUGAAAAGUACAAUUGUUCAUUAAUUAAUGUUUUGAAAAUGUAAAAAUAUUUUUUUUAAACAAUUUUUUUUCUAAAAAAUGGAUCUAUGAAAAACAAAGGGAGUAUAUUUUAAUAUAUUCUUUUCCAAACUGUAUAAUUUGCGAAAGUCAUAGGUUUGUAUUGUUGUAUGUAUUACAAGAGAAAACCGUUUGUCAGAAAAAAAUACCCGAUUUGUGCUAUACUUAUAUCUAGUAGUAUUACUAUUAUUUAGUUUUAGUGCUAUUUAUUUAGUUUAGAGGUGAAUGUUUGGUUUUGAGUUUCGACUAUGUGUGUUCAGUGUUCUCAUCUGAUUGUUGAAGGCUUGAAGCCAUCAUUAUUAAGAUACUGUGACACGAAAUAAGAUUAAUACUAAGAUAUUUUAAUAGUACAUGUUAUUCUAAAAUAGGUUAUCCUUUAGAGCACCCCCAUUGAGGGUUCAUGGGGGGGAGUUCACACAAAAACCAAGAAAAAAAAAUAAUAAAAUAAUUCAAUCCCAUGAACUCUCUCUCUCCUAAAGUUCUCUUGGUUGAACCCCUCUCUCCUAAAGUUCAUCACUGUAGCGCGGAUUCCACGUGUCGUGGCAGCCUGCGAUUGGUCUAAUUUUUUUUUUUUUUUAACAAAAAAAAAAGAAACAAAUUUUAAUAAUAAAAAACUAAAAAGAUGAACCCCAAGAAGGGGUUCAUUGAUGUGGAUGCUCUUACGUCCUAACCCCUGACGUAUCGGCAAAUGGCAGUAUGUAAUAGUAAUACCAUGUGAAUACAAGUGGUCAAGUAUACUAAUUUUAUAAAAUCAUCGGCGUGCGAUUAAAAGUUUAUUAAGAAUAUUUUUCAUAUCAUGUGUUAGAGAGUUAAAAGAUUAAAAUCAUUUCAUAAUUUUUGUUGACAUGAUAUACUUUCUAUUUUGAUAUCAACUAAUUUACAGUAAAUAUUUUAAUCUAAAUUUUAUUUGUUUCUCAGAAUUCGAAUAUGAUCCAGUUUUUGUUGCUAAAUAUCAACUAUAUGUCAACAAAAUAUUUGUAUAGAUAUGUAUAAUGCACUUACAUAUACAUAUAAAAGUGUUAACAAACUAUGAACUAAUGUAAUAAACGGCUCAAUGUAACUUGUUUGGGCCACAGAAGCCCUAUGUAGAUACCACUGUUAUAGACUUAUAGUACUGUUUAUCAAAUUGUAAAAGUAUGUUAUUUAUGUAAUAAAUAUCAUUAUUUAUCAAGAAUAAAACUUAUAAAUAUUUUUAUCAUACAAUAGUUCGAACCUCUAUAGUAAUACGGAUAACGAAACUAAUACAAACCAGUAAAUUUAUUUAUUUUAUUUAUAAAAGCAGGUAAAUUAGUCAUUAGCACAUGAUACACAUCGUUAAAAUCCAUUUCAACCCUUAUAUUAUUUUCAUGAGUUAUUCUUUUCACCUUUUUAAUGUAUCUAAUUUUUUUUUUGGUCGAAUAAUGUAUCUAAUUUUAUGUCCAGUUAUUCCAUACUAGUCUUACUACUCUCUCAUACUUUUUUAUCACCUAUGGUUUUAUUUUACCACUAAAUAAUUUAGUGCUUUUGUCAAUCAUAAGAAAAAACAGAAUAACAGAGUUGGUGGAGUUAAAAUGCGAACCCGAAUUUAACCGGCGGAAUUAGGAAGCAUCUCAGAAGAACCGGUUAGUAGGGAUUUCAGGUUCAGAAGUCACGUGGUUCGCUUUUUUCGUAUAUAUGGCUUAGCUGUUUGCAACUUUGCAUUUAAAGACACAGUAAAGUUAGAUUCUUGAUAGAUUCUUUAAAUUUCUUAUUGGAUUGUUUUCUCAUUUGAUGAAUUAUAAGGAACUGUACACAUAAUUUAAAUGUUUUGCUUUUAAAAAUUAAUACUCAUUUGUAUCAUUUUAAGUGGUGUUUAAAAUUUUUGCACAAAAAUUAAAAAAAUAUAAAAAAUUUAUAUAGUUUAUCUUAGUUACGUAAAAGUAACAUUAAAUAAAAUUAGUUUAAUCCAUAAAAAAAUAUAAUAUUUUAUAAUUGGUCAUAAAUUUAAAUUUUAUAUAAAAUAAUAAAAACAUCAGUUAUUAUGAAAUAAAAUAAAAAAAUUUUAAAUACCAUUUAAAUUGACAGGGAUGAAGUAUCAUUAAUUCAAACAUUUUUUACCAACGAUAAUACUAACAUUUUAAUGUCAUCAAUGUUAUAAACAUCAAAAUUUCUUUGAUCUGUAUGGAAUAAUUUAAUGUGUAAAAGGACAUUCUUUUCUUAUAACACGGAAAAGACUCAGAGCAAGGAUUAUGCAUCACCAUAGUUGUCAUUAACAUACGUGGGUGUUGCAUCAUGGGGACGCACGUCCAUGGCCAAUAAGUCUUACACAAUUAUUCUUAUACAAAUAAUUGUUUAUUGGUUUGUAAAGCUUAUCUUCAUCUUGAAGAAAUAUAGUUGUCUUUUUAUAACCAUGCUAAGAGAUCACAUGAGAACGAGAUUCAUAAAACAAAACAAACUAACAAGAGUAAUCACAUGUAGGACCAGCUUGUCUCCUUACGUAAAACAAACCCCAUAAACUAACUUGUUACUCACAUAACACAUUGACUUACUAUUGACAAGCUAAUGUUCUUAACAACCAUAGGUUAUAUAAUUAAUAUGUACAGAUAAAAAAUAAAUGUACCAAGAUCUACCUAACAUUCUUCUACUACCAAUUGGUCCAACAAGAAGACCGACCACCAAUAUUUUAGCUAACUUCCCACCAUCUUUAUGUACAAUAACAAUACCAAACCACAAACCAAAUCCAUUACCGGUUGACUAUCUGAUCCAAAUACACCAAUUCAACCGCGUGGGUUGUUAACAAACUCGAUUGAAUUGGUACAUAUGGCUCGUUUAGUCAACCGGUUUAAUGUCCUAAAAAUAUGAUUUGACCAAAACCAAUUGGUAUAGAUUUCUCAUAACUAGACUCCCAAGUGAUAAUAAUACUGCCCCUCCUCCAAUGCGUGCUUGGUGAUGUUGCUGCUCUUGUUUUUGUUCUUCCUUCUCAACUGCUUCUCGGCAACUAAGCGGGAAUGAUUCUUUAACACUUAUAUCAUCGAUUCCAAUCUUCUCUCUAAUCGAUUUGAUUAUCUCCGGAUCUAUAAGGUUACCAUUUGCAUCUGUCACAUAGAACAUAUUCCUUGCUAUACCUUCUUUAGUCGAUAUCUUGGCUCUAGCAAUGUUUAAUCCGUUCUCCCUCAAUACUCGUGUUACUUCUGCCAACAAUCCAGGUCUAUCUGUAGUGCAUAGCUCCAAUCUCACACCCUGCAUAAAGGUAAAAAUAAAUCAGAUACUAAACCGAUCGGUUUAAGUUCACUUAAACCGGAAUUGAAAUUGUUCAUUGUUUCAUACCUUAACAGUUCUUCUUUCAAUCGCAGCUUGGAGACAUUGGAUCAAACGUUGUCUCUCCGGUUCUGAAUUAACCGGGUUUCCAUCACUAUGCCUCACAUAAAAUUCCAAAAAUGCCGUUUCUCCAACCGUUCGAAUCGCGGCGUGGAACACAAUGUAAGCCAUGUCCGUUAACGUGCAAACAACGUCAAACAAAAGCUUCAACCGAUCCUUGCACUGCAAGUUCACGACCGAGUAACCACGUUUCUCAAGAUUUUGUACGGAAACGACCGGAGAUGUCUCGAAAUCAAACUUCUUCUCGUAGUCACGGUCCAUGAACAUCCUCUGAUGCAACCUCCUCUCCAUAUGAGUAUUGCCACCAUACGUAACGCAUGUCCUCGUAUCAUUUUGGUAACCAUCGUCUGCUUUUAGUAAAUUAUGUAACUGCCCUUCUAUCCGUUGGACACGGUCGGAAUCUCCGUCGAUGGGAGUCCCGGAGUUACCGUCUCUAACGUAGAUCAUCGAGGCAAUCCUACCGUUAUGCGUCCAUGCCUUAGCCUCAACAACAUCACAAUGAAGAUCGGCUAGAACAGCGAAAACCUCUGAGAGUAAACCAACUCUGUCUGUUCCGGUUAACUCUAGAGCGGUUAAACCGGUGUACCCUUCGCUGUUACAGUAAUGAGACGUCUCGAUCGACUGUAAAUAUUUAAAAAAGAGUGUUAUAUAUUAUUCCCUAUUAACUUGUAACAUUCACAAAUGAAUGGUGUGGUUAAAUGGUAACUUAGAUUUACCUUUUCAAUGUAACGGAUUAGGUUCUCAUCAGUUAAUUUGUUUCCAUUAAGAUCGCUGACAUGAAAAACUGAAGAAGCGAAAUAAAAAAAUAAUCGAAUUAGCUAAUUAUUGUUACUUCCUAAAUUAGUAUAAUUAGCGUAAGAUUAGGGAUACUUACCAUCCAUGUUCCAUUUUCCGUCAGAGGAAAUGUAAGCUUUCCUAAUCCAGAGAUUCAUAUCGGUGAGAAGCUGUACAGAUUCAAGCAAUAUCCCUGGACUUCUUGCGCUAUCAAUCUAACAAGAAAAAUCAAAUAAAUGAAUUAAUUAUUAUAAAUCAUUUUGAAAUGAAAAGGAAGAAACAGAGGAAGGUAGCGUGAGGGUAAAAACCUUGACGACAGUUGAAGUAGGGCAAACUCCAUUGUCAAUCACGACCCUGCAAGUGACCAAAAAGACAGUGACCCUUUAACCUCAAUCUUUUGUAUGAAUCAAACAACCAAAACAUUACAAAUUAAAAAUUACCAAUAAUUUGACUUCUGGUUUUACUAUAUAUUAUACACUAAUAUAUGAGGGUAAAGCCAGGAGAUGACAAAGACUUCCAUGCAAAUUGGAGAUUUUUCUUUCUUCACUAAUUCAUCAAGAAUGAAGAACCUUAUAUUUGUUUCAGCAAACUCAUCAUAUGAUAAUCAAAAACUAAUAAUUUUGUGAAAUUGUUGGAUUGGUUAAAUAUGAAAACGUUAACAGAAAAUUUAAGUUUUUAAUGAUUAGAAGAAAAAGAGGUUAAUAUCUGGGAAUAGGAUUUGUUUUUUUUUUUGGUUUAAAAGAUCUUGAUUUUUCUUCAAAGAAGAUGAUUAUUUUCCUGCAUAAAGAUUUGAGUUCAAUAAGAAACAAAGAAAGAGUAAUAGAAAAAAUAAAAACCUGGGCAUGUUCAUCCGUACAACGAGCUUCUCAUAUUCAUUAGAGCAAUCGGAUAACUCCAUCUUUAUUCUUCAGUUCUUCUUCUUGCCCUUGUUACAGAGAAUAAAUCCUUCAAACUAUAUCUCACAGCCUCUCGGAACAACCUUUUAUAUUUCUUCUUCUUCAGAUGUUAGGAUGAAGCUAUCAUUAAAAAACAAUUCAUGUGUUUGCACAGAGUCGUUCUUUCUCUCUGUCUAAAAACCACUCUGUCUUUCUCUCUCCUCUUAUGGGGCAGAGUUAAGUCUGUCUUUAAUAAUAGGAUAAGAAAAUAAAUGGUAGUAAUAAGAAUAAUAAAAUAUCCACGAGGCGUUACGACCGGCUCUUGAAAAAUCAAAACAGACGCUGACCUGUUCCUGUUUUGGAUUCGUCUAGGGGCUCCCAUAGGAAAAAAAAUCUAAACCAUUAGAAUUUUCAAAAUCACUAAUCUUCUUAAAUGACUUUCCUUUCUGUCUCCUUUUCACCCAUCUGGAUUCUUACCCACUUUCCCUCCUGUCUUUUAUUUUCACGAACAUCAGGAAAAGAAAAAGAAAAAAUACAAUGGCUUAUUGACAAAACAUUAGGUUAAGAGAUUGGUUAUCAAUGGUUUAAUGUUGACAUAGUCAGGUUAAUCUUUCAUGCUAUGUAAAUAUGUAUAUAAUCGGAACUCUGUAUUUUACUUUACACUUGAGUUGAAUAAUACAGUAAGAAACUUUCUUCUUUCGCUAUCUUUUCUUGAUCGUAAUAUGGUAAGCUAUUAGCUACCAUUUUGUAUUUUUGACUGUUUUAGCUUUGAUCAUCGUUAUUCUUCUUCUUUAUGUUUAUCUCAUCUAUUUUCUUACUGGCAAUGGUUUCCUUCUAGAAAUUCAUGAGAAGAUCAACAGAACAUAAGAUUAAUCCGUUAUUAUCAACAAACAAACCAGUGAAAAUCAAUAUCUUAAACAGAAUGUAUUGUCAAUAUUGCUCGGCCGUACAACCCAGGAAAAGCAACACUUAGAGCUAGUUGGUCUGUCGGGGUCCCGUGACAUGUGGGAGAGUUCUAGUUUUUACGCGCGUUUGUCAACGGUAAAGUUAACGGCAAAUGACAAUUAACGCCGUUAGGACACAUGAUUCACGUAACAACAAACAGCCGUUGAUGAGUCCGGUUCGUGCGGAAAGUCGGUUGUUUUCCCGCCAAAUAUCACGGUCACUAGCAGAUGGUUUUAGGCUAUUUAGAUUUUCAUUUCACUAAUUGACAGAAAGGUUUUUUGCACACAAAAAUUUGACGGUUUAAAUUCAACCUGUAAGAUUUUUGUCUUGUUUUCCAACUGCACUUGUGACUUGUUAGAAACCAAAUAUUUAAAAUUUAAGGGGUACAUAUAUUAGUAUUUACAUUUUCAAGAAAUUAUAGAAAAAUAUAGAGAGAACCAAAUGUUUGAACUUUUAGCAUUAUACAGUUUUUAAGUUAUCUUUCUAUAAUAACAAUAUUAGUAUUAUCAAUUGAGGAAAUUAGAAGAUAAGAGAAAAGAUAAGUUGUGGGUAUGUGCUUUUUAAUACAAAAACGUGUUGAAAAAUAUAGAAAAUGGUGGGAAAAAAGAAUCAUGUGUCCACGGUAAGAAGAAAUCUCUGGCUUUAAGACUAGUCGAAGGCGCGUCAAAGCAGAAGUUGGUCCCACGUGUACCUAUCGACAUGCGAACGACUUUGGUCGGCAUGGCUGGUUUAUUUGUUCAUUUUUAAAGAAGAUACAUUUGGUUCAAAAAAAAAAAAGAUACACAACAUACUCAUAAAUAUUCACCGUCUCAAAUUUAGCCAUAAAUGAUAGUAGAUCAUAACCGUUCUGUUACCAUUAAAUAAAUACUUGUCACUAUUAUAUGGAAGUAUAGUAACGGUAACGGAAGUGUGAUUUACUAGGCAAUAUAAAAUAUCUUAAGAAAUGUUUGAGAGGUUGAAAGUGUCAUGUGAAAUAUAAGAAGGUUCGAGACAUAUUAAAUGGGGAAGACAUGAUAAGUGUCUGCUUGAGUGCUUGUAGUUGUAGCAGGUAACAACGCUGUGUUUUUUCGUCUUUUUAUGGACUCACACCUAUUUUUGAUUACUUUUAUACGUAAUAUUAGACUUGAAUCCGAGAUAAGAGAUGCAAUCUUUAAGCGUGUGUUUUCACAGCUCACAAGAAAAAUGUGAUAUAUAGGCGACCGAUGGCAUAUAGACUUGAAUCCGAGUGCAAUCUUUAAAAAGACUUUGUAUAAUAACAUUUGAUGAGUUUUUCAAACCAAUAUGGAUAAACUAUUAUUGGAUCUAUUUGUUUGGAGGACUUUUUUUUUGUUUCUUGAGAUAAAAAAAAAACCCGCAUCGUCGAGUAACUUAUGUGAUAUCUUGAUAUUUUGAAGUACCGGAAGACUUGAGCCGUAGAUCUCGGCUAGGUUAGAUCUUAAGAAUCAUAGAACAAAAGAGACGAUUAAGAUUUGGUCAAAGACAAAACACGUGAUCACUGCAUGCAACAGUUCUCACUUCUCAAUGGUCAGAAUUACAGGAUUAAUCAAAUAAACCAAUGAUAUGAUUCCAAAUUUUCUUGUUUAUAUAAUUCCAUUCACAUUUGAUACUAGUGGAUGACUAAAUUAUUUAAAAUGUAAGCCGGAAUUAAGAAAAGUAUGAAUUAAAAAGUAGUAAUUAUCAAAAGACAUUUCAAAAGAAGAGUGUGGCGUGGGACUAUAACUUGGCUUGUAAUUUCAGACAUUUGAACCGGCCAUUUUUUAUAAUCCACUUUUCUUAAAUAUUUGACUCACACAUUUAGAAGAUCGUGACAUCUUCUAAUUGCUUGUAUCACUAUAAAACAUAUACUUAGUAUUUAUAUGUCGCUGUUACGGUCGUAUCGUAUAUUACAGCUGUAGCCAACAUUUAUAAAAAAAAAAAUCAUAAAAUUUGUUCUUCUGACAAGAUGAAUUUUUAUAGUUUUGAACUUGAACUUUCCGUUUAUCUUUAGCCACGAGCUCAGAACCAGAAAGCCGACGAGUUAGCUAAAAGAACUCUCCGUUUAUCUUUACUUUCAGCUUGUAAUGGGCCCCUAGUGGGCUAAACUGCCGUUUUUAUUAAGUUUAAUGAAAUCCUUAGUUGAACAAAAAAAAGAACUUGAACUUUAGAUUUGAUGAUUACAGCGACAACUAACUGCCUGAUCACCAUCAUAUACCAAGAUUAGUCGUUGUAUUUGUAUACGAAAAAUGAUAGCUUGUUAAUUUUUUAAAAGGUAGAACAACUACCUUUAGUUUAAAAGAUAUAUGGAUUUCACUUUUUGUAACUAGUUAAUUUUAUGAAGAAAUAAAAUAUGCUUGCUCUUAAGAAUGAGUACAAUCUUGAAGGGAAGCUCCAGGUUAUCAAUUAACGGCAUCUUUGAUGCACGUUUUGACAGAUGAUCAGCAUACUGCAGGUAUAAUGAUGUGAUUACAUUACUGAAUUUAAUUUCUCGGCCAUUUUAGGUGUAAGAAUAAAUGUAUUUUUCCCACCAAUUGUUAGUUAUGCUAGAACGAUUUCCACUUAAUUAUUGUCAUUUUAAAAUUAUAAAUGCAAUUCUUUCACUUUCUUAUUUUUUCAGUCAUUCUAUUGAUAUUUAUACUAUACAUUUUAAAAGAUUACACGAGCUUUAUUACUAGAAUAAUAUCGCAAGGAAGAUUUACUACAAGCCUAGCGGCUAAACAACUAUUUCACACCAAAGCAGACAAUAUAUUGCAAGAAGUAAUAAAUAUGUGUUAAGCCUUCAAGGAAAAUCACAAGCUAAUUCAUGAUGCAUCACAUGGGAUGUUCAAACCUAAACCACUUAAUCCUCUUGUUUGCAUAAACCAAGUAGUCUACCUCAUUUAGUUAUGCAGUGUAUAUAACUAUAUACUAAUAUAUACAUAUAUACACUGUUUGUGUUUCAAAAUAUAUAUAUACACACUGUUUAAAAGUUUGUUUAUCAUUUCCAUUGCAAUUUUAACAUCUCCCAAAUAGAAAACAAAUUAUAACCGACAAAGUACAAAGUCUACUGUCUACAUAUGGAUUAUACAACCCCACCUGAUCGACUUAGUCAUUUGAAACAAUCAACUCUGAAAGGCAGAAUUAAGAGAAUCGGCCUCCAGACAUUACUGCGAUAGAUUCCACAAACUAAUUAAAUAUAAAGGCAGCAACCAAAAUUCAAAUAUGUUUAUAUCAUAAGAAAGAGUCUAAAUUAUAAACCGACUUUUGACAUUUCACAAAAGAAUGGCAUUAUCUAGUGCAUUUGUACUCAAUGUUAUUAAUAAUCAAAAAAACGUUGACAAAGCUUAAAAAUUAAUACUAACUCCGAGUGACCUGAGAGUGUCUACCUAUACUACGUCUAUACAACGCUAAACGUGAUCGUAUACAUUUAGGGCCCUGACUGGUUCAAACGCAGCGGUUGCGGUUGCGGCUGCGGGCGUUUGCGGAUGCGGGUGGUUGCGGUUUCUAGCGGUUUUAAGAGAUUUGUACGACUGGUUCUGCGGUUAAAAAUUGGUGCGUUUACGGGAUAAUUAUGACUGGUUAACUACCAAAUACAACCGCGGUUAAAUAAUAAAUUAACAAUAUUUACAUUUUAUAUAAUUAUAAAAAUAUCAAAAAUCAUAAUAUUAUAAUAAAUAUGUAAAUUAUAUUUUCAAAGUUAUAGUUUUAAAAUUUUAAAAUUAUAGAAAAUAUUUUUAUUUUAAAAUUUUAUAAUAUUAAUUAAAAUAUAAUAGAUAUAUUUUAGUAUUUUUAUAAUUCUAUUUUAAAAAAUUUAUUGAAUAUUUUUAUUUUUGUAUUUAUAAGGUUUUUAAAGAAAAAUAAAAACCGCAAACGCUAGCUGAAACCAGCUUUUGAUUUUAAGAGGUUCGGAGCGGUUUGAAGCGAUUUGUAACGGUUUGGAUGAUUGUUUUGAAACGCUGUCAACCGUUACCAACCGCAAAAGCUGUGUUUGCGGAUGGUAGCGGGGAAACCAAUCAAGCUCUUAAAACGAUAACAAAUCCACUAGUAAAUACUAGUACUAAUUUUUCAAGCUCUAAUACUCUCUUCGUUUCAUAUUAAAUAUUAAAUGCCGUUUAAAAUAAAAUUUUCAUUACAAAAUAAAUAUUUUAAAAAUUCAUUGCAAAUUUAUUAAAUUUAUAUGCUUUUAUGACUUUAUAUUUUCCAGUUUAUUUUUAUACUAAUUGAAAUAUGGUUAAUUAUAUAGAUAGGAAUAUUUUUAUUUAGAAAAUAUAUAAAAUUAAUUUUCACAAUUACAGAGCAUUAAGCUUUAAACCCACACAUACAUACAUUAUAGUAUUAAACCCACGAACCCAUAUAUACAUUAUAGUAUUAUACAAUGAGAUUUGAUUGCACCCACACUCUCCCUCAAAUAUGUGUUUCCGAUUCACAUGGCACUCACAAGACACAAUCAAUGUUUUUAGGUUCUUUGUCUACCAAAACAUCAUUAACCAAAUGGUUGUGCCUUGUUGUAUUGGUAAAUGUAUUUAUUUUCGUUUGGUAAAAUGUCAUUUUUAUUUUACCAACGAAAACAUUUUCGUUUUGAAAUUGUUCCCUUGAAGCUAGAAGUAAUAUACACUCUUGGUUAAGAUAUUAAUUUUCAUUAGGUACCGUCUUAAACAAAUGUAACAUUCCAGUUAUCUAAAGAAACGGUUAACAAUGGGGGUGAUUGGUUGGGCUGUAGAAAGUGACUUUAGCUUUAAUUUUCAUCUACAACCUUAAAUACUAUCAAUCAUGCUUUAUCUUGGUUUUUAAAGCUACAACCAAAAAAUUAAAACUACAGCAAAAACACACAAAAAAUGGCUGUAAACAUCUUAUUUUCUAAAGCCCCAUUUUUUUAGCUGUAGGAAAUUUUAAAGCUACAUCAUUUAAAGCUAAAUCAAAAAUCCUACAGACAAAAUAUUAAAGUAAAUUUUCUACAAUUACAACCCAACCAAUCACCCCCAACAUGUUGAAACAUCUUUUUAUUAUCAGGAGAUUAGAGCUAUAAAGUUAGAUGCCGGACGAUGUAACUAUCUUAUCUAUUUCAAAAUCACGAAUUCAUUUUUUCGUUCUUUUCAGAAAUUGAUUGAAAGCUUUUGGGGGAAAAAAUAAGAUAGAAGAAAAUACUAACUGGGCCUUAAAAUGGCAGAAAGCCCAAGCUUAUGAAAAAAGUCAACUAGUUCAAACCGAUAUGGUUCGUUGUUCUUGAUUCCUGGGACUCCUCUUGCUCCUUGGGAUAUUCGUUUUCUCUCUGUUAUCCGCACGAAAGUGUGCCGAUCAAUCUCUUCACCAUCUGAUGAUCUCUAUAAUUUUUUUACUCUGUCUCGAAACGACCAGGUUGCAUCAGAAGCUAAUGUGGGCACGCGCAGAUCAAUCCCUGAAGCUAUCAUAUCUGGAUCCUAUUAACAAGGUUACCAUAUUUAUCCAAUACUCCUAUCUAUGUAACUUCUUUUUGGUAAAACUAUAUGUGUAACGUUUUGUGUGAAAGUGAUGAGUCUUGUGGUUAAUAUACACAUAAUGAAUUGAAAAUUAAAAUUAGUGCGUGGGAAUAAUUGUUGCUUAAGGACCAAGGUUACAUAUAUAUAUAUAUAUAUAUGUGCUUUACAGGGUGUGUGAAGAUCUCGUAAAAAGCACUUUGACUAUCUGUAACUAAAACCAGGUUUGACUUAUCACUUUAAUCCUUAAUUGUAUAGCUUUAUCUUAUCUUUAAGUGAGCUGAAUGCAUGUUAGAGAAAUGUUUUUAAUCCAACUUUCAAUCCUUCCUCCUUUAGAGAAAUUUAGGAUAAUCACUCUCAGUUCUGAAAUCACUCGGAACCUUUUCAGAAUUAUCACUGGGAAAGCAAUCGUGAUUUGUGAUGGAGCUUAGGACUUAGUCGUAAGAUUGAUCAACUAACCAAGGACUAUAAAACUUUACAUGAACUAGCUAUCGAAAGCCCGUCUAGCUCAGUUGGUAGAGCGCAAGGCUCUUAACCUUGUGGUCGUGGGUUCGAGCCCCACGGUGGGCGUUUCCUUUUUCUUUCCUCUCUAGUCGACAUUUUUUUUUAUUUUUUCAAAUGAAAACCUUAAUAUAUAGUAGUCACCAGUUGCUCUAAACUCCAAUUUGGUAAACUCAAUGGAGCUUUCACAUUUUCUGCAUUGACUCCUUAUCUUAACUUGAAUCCUACUACUACUAAGAUAAGCGUCGUUGAACAUGUUAUAUCCUAAGACAUCAACAUACUUCUUCAUAUUGUGAUCCCAUCUUGUUUUGAGUCUUGUGGAGUAUGUUCUCCCUCUUUGUCACAAGUUAGAAUCUGUGCUUUGCCCGCCUCUUUCUCCCAAUCAAUCCUUGCAAUAAAAAUGAGCAACGUCGAGAAACAAACUGAUGCUCCAACCAAAAACCCUAUCAAGAAUCCUACAAGACCUAGUUUAGCUUUGAACGCCAAACUCACCCCUAACGGCAAAGCCAACAGGUAAAACCCACCAAUAUUCGCAUACAUUCCAAGCAAUGGCUUUGCCGUUCCACGAACAAUCUCUCCACAUACCAAUAAAGGGAAGUUUAUAACCUCAACAACCGCCAUUAUCAACAUCAGCUUCUUCACACCGUUUAUGAUCAUUAAGUCAUUGUGAGCGUACAAAGACCCCCAUACACCUCUGCAUGCUAUCAUCACUAAAGCUCCUACGCAUCCCGAAAAAACACCCACAACGAGUGUAGUGUAAGCUGCUCUAUAAGCUCCUUUUGGAUUAUUCGCGCCGAGCUCGUUAGACACUCGCGUAGCCACGCACGUGCCUAAAGAGAGCAUCACAGCGUAAAGCAAGUAGUCGAAGUUGAGAAGUAUGACCAAGGUCGAUACUGACUCCUCAGGGUUUGGUAACCUCCCGGCUAAUAUGACCAAGAUCUCGUAGCACCACCACUCGAGGCACACGGUGAGACAACACGGUCCACUAAGCUUGAUCAGAUUAAGCCAGUCUUGACCACGUUGGUCCAACAACCCACCUUGUUUCCAUUUGUUAUCUUUCAAUCCCUCAGCGACUAUCACGUACCCCGUUAGAAGAAUCACGACGAUAAGAUCUGUGAUCCAAACCGCCAUUGCAACUCCUUGGAUUCCCUUUGCUCUAGAGAGGAAUAUGUUGAUGGGGAUAUGAAGAGAAGUGGCUGCAGCUGUGGUGUACAUGAUGGGGAGCGUAACGCCUUGUGAGCUUAAAUAAGCCUUAAGGGGACAAAGCAAAGAGAGAACUGGUAGAUCAGGAAGGAGGUUGAUAAGGUAUCUCUUGGCUAUGUAGGAUAUGUCUUCUUUUUGACCAAAACUUGUGAGGAUCUUGUCAACGUUGAGCCACAAGAGAGAUAUAGGGAUCGAGAUCAAGAGAAGCAAGAACACCGCCAUCAAAAGGGUUUUGUGGAGAAGCUUAAAGUUCUUGGCUCCGAAAGCUUGCCCACAAAUGGGUUCCAUUGCAGCAGAGAUUCCGUAUAAAACAGCAAAACCAGUAGCGUUCGCAAAGGAAAACCCUAACGAGCCACCGGCUAGGUUAUGCUUGCCUUGACGGCCAAGAAACACAGAUGUACUUGUUAUCUUACCAAACCACAACAAGUUCAUAGCCACCAAUGGUAGGCCUAUUCUCAUUUGUACCUUGAGCUCAUGAAAAAUGCUCUGCAUCAACGUCUUUGAACAACACCCUUUGGAGACUUUCAAUCCAGAAGUCUCUAAAGAACACCCUUCAGAGGCUUCUGGAUGAAAAGUUUCUAACUUCGAUGUCUCUGACAUUUGUGUGUGUAGAAGAAGAGGAUAAUUUGGGGAAAGAGAAGUUAAUAAGUGAAGGAAUAAAAGGAAGAAAAAAACUUUGGGAGGUUUCAGCCAAUUUUUAGCAUGGCUUUGAGAAUUGCAUAGAUAAUUGCUUGCUUGCUUGUUUGUUGAUAAGAUCAACAACUCUGCAGGUGGAAAAUGGCUUUCAUGUUUUCGUGGAGGACUGUAAAUUGUAAAUUAAAAGCAUGGUUUGCGUGAGAGGUUGCGAUUUUUUGGAGAAAGUUAUUGUAACGCACAAGAAAAAGGGGUGGAAACAACUUGGUGGGUUUCCUAUGUACGUCUUAGUGCAUUGAUGAUGAUGAAACCAUACCAGUCCCAUUUGCAAAAAAAAAAAUAUAUAUUUUUGAUUUUUGUUAUUUAAUCUUUAAAAAUUGAGCAGCUAAUAUUAUAAAUAUCAUCUUCUUAAAGAUUUUCUAAACUUGAUUCCAGAUUUUGUUUCAGCUACUAUGCAAAAUUCUAUGAUGGUCAAAAGUAUAACUAUAAUGCACGGAUUAAGACCCCGAUUAAUACUGGCAAACUGAUAGUUGAGCUAUUCCAUCUCUUCUUAGUACCGACUAGAAACUAUACUUUUUAUUUAUUUACAUAACUAUAAAUUUAUGAAACAAUAGAACACAUUAAAAAUACGAGGAAAAGUAAUAAAUAAUAAGAGUCAAAAGACAAGAAAAGAGAGGAUAUGCAACCUUGGCUUUCUAUUUUUCUUUAUAGAAAAGCAACAAAUAAUUGCAAUAAGGCAUAUAUAACUGUGUGAUGAAAAUUGAAAACAUCAUGAAUUUAAUAUACAAACUCCUUUUACGGAUCACUUGAUAUUUCAACUUUAUUUUGGUGCUUCUCAAAAGAGCUUUCGUCUAAAUUCUAUAAGAACCAAAAGAGAAAAAUAAAGGGUUUAAAAACAAUUCGACCAAAAAAGCUCAAAAAAAUAAAAAUAAAAUAAUGGUUCGACUGGUUGGUACCUAUUUUUUUGAUAAAAAUAAUAAAAUUCAUUACCAAACUUUUAAGGUUUUUUUACAGAACAACAGAAGAACCAAAAACCAGAAAAACUGAAAAUAAUUUAAACAUAGACUCAGAUCUUGCUAAGAGAAUGAACCGACUACAAGUAAAACAACUAACUACCCGGUAAAAUCUGGCAUUUCCAAUAAACAGUCCUUAAAGAUCUAUGUUGUCAAGAACUGCUCACGUAGCCCUUCUAAUCUGCAACCUCCAUGAACAGACAACGAUACUCGUGACCAAGUGCACCCGCUCACACUGAAUUGAGCUUUGUUCGGAUAAGAAACCACCAAAAGCCGCCACAGAUCACUGAACCUACACCAAAAAGACAGAGAAAGCAAGCACCACAUUGAGUUAAAAUGGACAGGAGGCAGUUAUUGAGAAAACAGAUUAUUUAUUUAUUUAAAAAACUAUUUUUUGAGAAAAUUUAGAAAGAAAAGAUAUGACCCGUUUAUUUAUUUAUUUAUUUUUUAGGUAACAUGAUAAGGAUUUUCGCUGUUUUACCAUUAAAGUUAACAGUAUUAAAUCGGUGGGUGAACAUGAGUGACAAACUAUCAGUGUUUAUUUCAUACUAGAUUUUUUAACCGCGCUACGCGCGGAUAAGAUAUUAUAUGUAUUUCUCAAUUCUAAAAAAUAAUGUAUAAUAUUGUAUUAUAUUAUUAUUUAAAGAAUAUAAAAUAAAACUAUAUAACAUAAAUAUAUUUUUUAUAUUUUCUUUGUGGAAAUCAUUAUGUUGUUUGAUUGUUGUACUUAAUUCACAUAUUUGCAUAGAUAUUUGUGAUAGAUGAAUAACUAUAUUUUUAUUAACAGUAAAUAAUAUAUAUUUAUUAUAUAAUAUAAGAAAAAUUGAAUUAUUUACUUUUUAACAAACUUGUCUCAUGGGGACUCGGUUAUAGACAUAUAAUAUUCGAAUGAAACAUUUUUACACUUAUCAAUCUUCUUAACAAUCAAGAAACAAAUCUGAAUAUCAAAGCAAUAUCUCAUACGAUCUCUUUGUGGAAUAACUGCUAUGAAGAAAUUGAAUUUAUGCAUCAAAAAGGACUGGAAAUGGAUGUGCAUAUGUAUUAUCUAAGUGAGCUUUACAAAAAACUAUAUGUAGUUCAUAUAUCAUUUAUGUCCAUCCUAUUUUUUGUCCAUCAUUUCUUAAACAUCUUGAAAUAAGUAAUGCUAAUUAAUAAUAAACUUUUUGCUCACAAAAUAAAAAUAAAAUUUGUCUAAUUAUCGCUUAAUUUGUCUAACUGAUAUAUGUAUUUCUCAAUUCUAAAAAAAUAAUGUAUAAUAUUGUAUUACAUUAUUUAAAGAAUAUAAAAUAUGACUACAUAACAUAAAUAUAUUUUUUAAAUUUUCUUUGUGGAAAUCAUUAUGUUGUUUGAUUGUUGUACUUGAUUCACAUAUUUGCAUAGAUAUUUGUGAUAGAUGAAUAACUAUUUUUAUUAUCAGUAAAUAAUAUAUAUUGAUUAUAUAAUAUAAAAAAAAUAAAAUUAUUUACUUUUUAAACUAACAUGUCUCAUGUUGGGGACUCGGUUAUAGACAUAUCAUAUUCGAAGGAGACAUUUUUACAGUUAUCAAUCUUCUUAACAUUGAAAAAACAAAUCUACAUAUCAAAACAAUAUCUCGUAGGAUCUAUUUGUGGAAUAACUACUCUGAAGAAAUUGAAUUUAGACAUCAAAAAUGACUGGAAAUAGAUGUGCAGAUAUGUUAUCUAAGUCUACUUCACAAAGUACUAUUCAUAGUUCAUAUAUCAUUAAUGUCCAUCCUAUUUUUUUGUCCACCAUUUCUUAAACAUCUUGAAAUAACUGAUGCUAAUUAAUAAUAAAUUUUUUGCUGGAAAAAAAAUCAAAUUUGUCUAAUUAUCGCUUAAAUAUUUUAUUAAUAUGGUCUAAGAAGCUUUUAAGUGAUAUCAUAGUUUAAUUUAUUGUUUUUUUUGUUAAUUUUUAGAGGUUUUUGUAUUUAAGAUUUUUUCCAUAUUAAGCUUCUAUUUCUUUCAUAGAAUUGAUAUAUAUAUAUAUAUAUAUAUAUAUAUAUAUAUAUAUCUUAAAAAUUACCAUCAAAUCAGUUUUACUUAUUUAUUAUUUUGUUUUAAUGAAAAUACACUUUUUAAAUAAUUUAAUUUAAAAUAAAAUUAUAUAUUAAUUUGCUGUAUUUUAACAAUUUCAUUGAUUUAAUUAAUUUGCUUUGGUGGAUAACUUAAAAAGUUUUCAUAUGAAUCGGGGAAAGCAAGCUUAUGUUGUUAUAUUAUAUUUAUUUUGUGUAUAUAGAAUCUAUAUAUAAUGCUAGUGUAAUAAAGAAAGAACAUUAUUUUUUUGUAACUUCAAAAUGAUACAUUAUUACAAUUUGAAAUGAAUCAAAAUUGAAUAAAAUGGUAAUUAAAUAUUUGUAAAUCUAAUUGUUUAGUUGGAUUCUCAUGAAAAAAAAAUCGAUUGGUUAAACAAAUGCUUCAAAAUUUGUUGUGGUAUUGUUUUGUCUAUAAAUUAUAAAAUUUAUUGAAUUAAUAUAUUUAAUUAUUGCAUCCUUAAAUAAUAUUUUAUUAAGACAUUAUAAAAAUAUGUUUUGAGUUGUUUUGUCAAAUUGUACAAAAAUCUAUGCUUUUUCAUAUUUGUAACUUAAAAAAGAUACAUUAUGACAAUUUGAAAUUAAUCAAAAUUGAAUAAAAUGGUAAUUAAAUAUUUUUAAAUCUAAUUAUUUUUUUUAUCUUGUUUAGUUGGAUUCUCAUGAAAAAAAAUCGAUAGGUUAAACAAAUGUUUCAAAAUUUCUUGUGUUAUUGUUUUGUCUAUAAAUUACAAAAUUUAUUGAAUUAAUAUAUUUAAUUAUUGCACCCUUAAAUAAUAUUUUAUUAAAACAUUAGAGAAGUAUGUUUUGAGUUGUUUUGUCAAAAUUUUACAAAAAUCUAUGCUUUUUCAUAUUUGUCACAAAAAUUUAUAUGUUAAACUUACUUUUACAAAAUUCUUAACUUUGUCACGAAAAAAAAAAUCUAUGAUUUUUCAUAUUUGUCAACGUUCUCACACUUUCUAAGAAUAUAUUAGCUUAGUCACUUUUUUUUUUUUUACAAAACAAAGUAUCGGAGUUUUGAAAGUUAAAUUCUUAUUAUUGUAAAUGUACAUAAGAGUUUGUGAUUAUAUACUUAGUGGUUCUUGUAUAUGUGUCCAAGAAAGUUUCAAUGACUUAGUGGUAACUGUCCUAUAUAUAUAUAUAUAUCAUACUAACCCGGGUUCGAUUCUCACCUUCGCAUUGUUUUUUUAUUUUUUACGAAAAAUAAAUGAGAUGACAUGGCAAUUUCGGGUUCUCUGAUUGGUUGAUUUUUCUAUCCUAUGUGGACACCCUCUCCAUGGCUUAUAUCUCCCUUUUAGAAAAAAAUCGAUAGGUUAAACAAAUGUUUCAAAAUUUCUUGUGUUAUUGUUUUGUCUAUAAAUUACAAAAUUUAUUGAAUUAAUAUAUUUAAUUAUUGCACCCUUAAAUAAUAUUUUAUUAAAACAUUAGAGAAGUAUGAUUUGAGUUGUUUUGUCAAAAUUUUACAAAAAUCUAUGCUUUUUCAUAUUUGUCACAAAAAUUUAUAUGUUAAACUUACUUUUACAAAAUUCUUAACUUUGUCACGAAAAAAAAAAAAUCUAUGAUUUUUCAUAUUUGUCAACGUUCUCACACUUUCUAAGAAUAUAUUAGCUUAGUCACUUUUUUUUUUUUACAAAACAAAGUAUCGGAGUUUUGAAAGUUAAAUUCUUAUUAUUGUAAAUGUACAUAAGAGUUUGUGAUUAUAUACUUAGUGGUUCUUGUAUAUGUGUCCAAGAAAGUUUCAAUGACUUAGUGGUAAUUGUCCUAUAUAUAUAUAUCAUACUAACCCGGGUUCGAUUCUCACCUUCGCAUUGUUUUUUUUAUUUUUUACGAAAAAUAAAUGAGAUGACAUGGCAAUUUCGGGUUCUCUGAUUGGUUGAUUUUUCUAUCCUAUGUGGACACCCUCUCCAUGGCUUAUAUCUCCCUUUUAGAAAAAAAUCGAUAGGUUAAACAAAUGUUUCAAAAUUUCUUGUGUUAUUGUUUUGUCUAUAAAUUACAAAAUUUAUUGAAUUAAUAUAUUUAAUUAUUGCACCCUUAAAUAAUAUUUUAUUAAAACAUUAGAGAAGUAUGAUUUGAGUUGUUUUGUCAAAAUUUUACAAAAAUCUAUGCUUUUUCAUAUUUGUCACAAAAAUUUAUAUGUUAAACUUACUUUUACAAAAUUCUUAACUUUGUCACGAAAAAAAAAAAAAUCUAUGAUUUUUCAUAUUUGUCAACGUUCUCACACUUUCUAAGAAUAUAUUAGCUUAGUCACUUUUUUUUUUUUUACAAAACAAAGUAUCGGAGUUUUGAAAGUUAAAUUCUUAUUAUUGUAAAUGUACAUAAGAGUUUGUGAUUAUAUACUUAGUGGUUCUUGUAUAUGUGUCCAAGAAAGUUUCAAUGACUUAGUGGUAAUUGUCCUAUAUAUAUAUAUCAUACUAACCCGGGUUCGAUUCUCACCUUCGCAUUGUUUUUUUUAUUUUUUACGAAAAAUAAAUGAGAUGACAUGGCAAUUUCGGGUUCUCUGAUUGGUUGAUUUUUCUAUCCUAUGUGGACACCCUCUCCAUGGCUUAUAUCUCCCUUUUAGUAUAGUAUAUUCUUAACUUUGUCACGAAAAAAAAAAUCUAUGAUUUUUCAUAUUUGUCAACGUUCUCACACUUUCUAAGAAUAUAUUAGCUUAGUCACUUUUUUUUUUUUUACAAAACAAAGUAUCGGAGUUUUGAAAGUUAAAUUCUUAUUAUUGUAAAUGUACAUAAGAGUUUGUGAUUAUAUACUUAGUGGUUCUUGUAUAUGUGUCCAAGAAAGUUUCAAUGACUUAGUGGUAAUUGUCCUAUAUAUAUAUAUCAUACUAACCCGGGUUCGAUUCUCACCUUCGCAUUGUUUUUUUUAUUUUUUACGAAAAAUAAAUGAGAUGACAUGGCAAUUUCGGGUUCUCUGAUUGGUUGAUUUUUCUAUCCUAUGUGGACACCCUCUCCAUGGCUUAUAUCUCCCUUUUAGUAUAGUAUAGAUAUCAUGAAUGGUGAUAGUGGACAUGAGCCUAUAUCAGAUAAUUCAGAUUUUAAAAAAAUUAUUAUGCAAGAUUUGCCGCUAAUCAUAUACUACUUCUUUCAAAAUUAAAUCAAAGAAUUCGAAGUCCGUGAAAUGGGAAUCAUAUGCAUGAAAAUAUGAUAUCAUCGUACUGAUAUGAUUGCCACUCUUCGUCGAAUUAAAAGAUCGCAAGAUUGCAACUUUAGCUGAAACAUUUUCUCAGAAGGAUAAUUUAGAAAUAACUACUGCUUUAGAAUCAGAGACGUUUAGACUUUUAUACGUUAAUCACAACUUGACAAGUAUGCAACAAAGGCUCGUUUAUUUGUGCCGGACCAUCAAAGAGUAUUUCAACGUCUGUCCGACACAUUAGGCAACAAAACAUGUUACAUUACUGCCGAGUCGAUCCAUUUGAAUAAAUAGGAAAAAUAAAAGUAAAAAUGAGCUUUCUUUUCUAACCUACACAACAUUAAGUGAGUCUAUAUAUGACUGACUGUGUGAAGCUCAAACAAUUGUAUUGCAUCACUACUGAGAGCAUUUCUUGACACCGCGGGCAAAAUCAAACAUGUGAUCCUUGACUAACGAACAUAAUGAUGCUUCUGUUGAUAUUUCGUUUGAUAUAUAUAAAGCUUUUUAAUCAAAAUUAUUGGAGAAAGUAAAAAGAAUAUUUUUGCUGAAAUAACUUAUACCUAUAAUAAUUUCUAGAAAAACUAAAGUUCAAAUUUAAAUUAGGGUCUCUUUAAAUUAUUGGAGAACGUAAAGAAAUUACAUGUAUCUUCGGAGAAGUACGAUCUGGGAAAGCAAAACCUGACUACAAAACUCAUGUCUUCAUAUAUAUUUUAAGUUAUCUUGCAGUUACGUACUAGUAUUUUAUAGUAAUAUGAUUAAGAAGAGAUAAUUAAAAAUUGCUGGUUGGCAGCAUUAAGACAAUUGCUGUCCGGAAACAUUUUUGUGAGCCAAUAGCGGAAGAGAGAUUACCGUUCAAUAUAUAUUUAAAAUCUUAAUUGAAUUUAACCCUCGACGAGCUCCUGAAAAGUUGGACGACUAAACUUAUAAUUAUUGCACAAACCAAUAUAAUCAAAAGACCCUUAUUGUUCAUAAUGCAAGAUUCCAUUCAGACUGUGUUCAACAUUUUAGUUAAGAUGAGAGUUUCUUUCUAUCCUAAACCUAAACUGAUCCAAAAACGCCACAAUUUGUAUACUAGAUUAAAAACUGAACUCAAACAAAAACUAUUACAUGUUAGAUUUCGUUUCACUUCGACCACUGUUAUUCCUAAAUCAAAGCUCCAAACAAGCAUAUUUUUAAUAUCCAACAAUCAUAUUGUUAUAUCAUAUCAGUAGCCUUUUUUUUUAGAAGUAUCAGUUUUGCAAACUAUAAUUUCUUUAAUAGAACCUAACUAUUAGCCCAUGUUUGGAGUACUAUCCACCCCAAACAAGAACACAGUUAGAGAUUUUAAUAUUUUAAUGGCGAUCUACUCAAAAGAGUGUAAUUGUAUCUAUGAAAUGUGUAUGUAUAUAUACGGCAGAUAUAACUUUACUGAUAACACUGAGAUUCCUAAUGGAAAGAACCCUUGAAUCAUGUGAGGUUUCUUUGAGCUUUAGUUUGUCGUUAGCUUAAUUUGCUCCAACUAGGCCAACUAAAUGGUCCUCAGAGAACCCACUUAAUCACUAAUUAACCCACAUGUCUCAAUGUUAAAAUUGCUCUCUUAAUCUCAAACUCUAAAUACACAAUUCCAAAAUAAAAAAUAUAAACUUAUUUACUUUUCUUCGAGAGAAGGUUGCUAACUUAUUUUGGAGGAUUAUUGAUUAUAUCAACUAUAAAUGAUUUAGCAUUCACUUGACCUAAUAGAGAGAAAAGAAAUUCACUUCAACGUUUAUAUACACAUUUAUUUACUUACAUAUGGUGGGAGGGGACCAUUAAAUGGGUUCGUGACAAAAGCAUAAGCACGAUGUGAUUUGCGGAAUUAGGUGUCUUCCACGUGGGACUUCAUUUCAAUUUAAUCAUCUAGCUUAAUUUACUAACUUUUAACUUAAUCUGUUUAUCAGUUAGUAUUACUUGGAGAUCAGGAAUAAACUUUCCUAAAAACUGUAUAAAGUCCAUGUAUCUAUAUGAUUCACACAAAGAGGCGUUAAGAUUUAAGUAUAUGUUGGCCUGGAUGAUGAGGUACGUUUUAUAUGUUUUCAUGAUUUCUCGUUUGGGAAAGAAUUAAUUAUAAAUUUUAUGGGUUCACUUUUAGUAAAUGAUACACAAUGAGUUGUAGUAUAACAUAUUGAUUUUACUAACAGUCUAGCUGAAUUCCAAAAUGAGGAAGUUUUUCGGUAAAGAGUUCUUCGCAAGUCUAAACGCUGAGAUCGAAGUUCAAGUAGCCAAGUAAAAAUUUCACACGGUGAAGUUGUAAUUCAUUUUUAUAGCCAACCUGUGUCUUUAACCCUAAAUGCAAAGACAUCAUGCCACAGUGUACAGCUUAACAAUUGUUUAUAUCUUAAAUCUAAAACUACAAUUUCUAUAUUUGAACCAAUGUAUUAAAAGUAUCAUGAUAUGAAAAGCAUCAAAGCUAAAUACAAUUUAUGUAAGAUACUGUAGCAUAUUAAUAAAGGCUAGUCACCUGGAGUAUUGGAUAAUGGCACCGCUGGUAGCAAAACAUAUCAAUAUAUCAGUGUAAUAAUACCAAAGCAUCUAUAUACAGACUGAGAGUAUGACGUCUAAAAUGGUUAACACAUGUUCAUGCCUCGGUUACUAACCCAAAUAAUUUAACUAACCAAUCAACUAUUAUCCGUAGAAUUCGGGAUUGAAAGCAAGCUGUCCUGUUCUCUUUUUGAGAGGGCUCGUGAACUUACAACUUUGGUUUGAUAGGUUCCGUGCCUUUUGAAACUAAAAUAAAAUAAUUAGUACUGACCUCAUUUCCCAAUAAUAUUAUUGAUUUUGGUAAUUGGAUAAAAAAAUGUUAACAGCCAAUCUAAUUAUUGGAAACAAUUCCUUUAUGUUAACUUCUCUGAGAAUAUCAAAUACUAUUGUACUAACAAUAUGAAAUAGAAGCACACCAUUUGAUAAGUUAGUUGUUUCAUGUACUGUCGUCAACUUUGUUUUAGGUUUAUUAUAGGAGUAGAAAAAUUAAAAAGUGUUGCUCAAAAAGGAGAAGAAUUAAAAAGAAACGUCUGUAUAUUUCUAUGAUAUUGUACACGUUCACAUUUGUUUAGCAUAAUCUGCAAUGUAACGUACAUAUAUAGGUUUCAUGUUUUCUGUUUUAAAUGAACCAAGUUAAAGUCAACCAUGAGUAAAUUUAUCUGUAACUAUAUUUUGGUGAUCAUGCUUAUCAAUACCAACAUGAUACACCUUGGUUACUACAUUAUCAGCACAAUCUUCGCUUUACCUGUCCACCUCAAAGAAUCUGAGCUGAAACCCAAGAUAUAAAGUAACCCCCGCACAAUUCGAUUAUUCGAUAGAAAAUUGGUAUCCGAGAUUUUUGCGAAUUUACGUUCUCAAAAAUGAUAAGUUGUCAAACACACGCAAGCACGGUAACUACCACACAUGGAUUUGGUUUUCAGAAACUUGCUAGUUUUUACUGGUUGAUAUAGAUCGCAAAAUUGUCUCGAUGUAAAAAAGAAAGGAGAGGAGUGGGAGGAGAAAGGGCACGUGGAGCAUGAGAGAGCCGACAAAGAGCAUCUCUUUAAGACAUUGGAGUUUGUGUUUAAUCUCUCUCCCAACAGUUCAUGCGAUGCCUCUCUCUCUCUGUUUCUCUCUUUCUCUCGUGGUUUUGGAGUUGUCAGCGACAUCUUCGCGUCUUCUUGUUAUUUCACUCUCUCCAAUGCACAAUCUCUAUCUAUAUAUAUAUACAUAUGUGUAUUCACAAACUUCAAACCCCCCCCCCCCCACAACUUUAGAUCUAGUUGAUAUUGACAAAUGGAUCGUUUGACUAUCAACUAUGUAGACACUACAUUUUAUAUAGAGACCAGCUUAUAUUCAACGCACAGCGCUACAUCUUAUAACCGUGAUGAUCGUCAAGUACUAAAAUAACAUUACUAAAAUGGCUAUUUUCUUUCAUGAAAUCUAAAAGUUUUAAAUAAUAUUCAUCAGCACAAUGACAUUGAUCAUCACACCAUCAUAUUACCAAAAAAAAAUCAAUGAUAUGCUCAAGAUGCAUUCCAACAUAUUUUUUGCAAUUGAUAUUUUUUGUACUUAUCACUGAACGAACUAGCUGUAAGUUUGUUUGUUGGUAUGUAUACAUGCUUAUCAGAUAACCAUAUUAACUUAAAAAAAGAUAACCAUAAUAAUUAUAUAGCUACAUGCAAUUAUAUAGAGGAUAGUCAAUUAAUCAUUUGUAUAUGUAUUACAAAAUAAUUAUCAUUAUAAUUAUAUUAUCAGAUGCCAACUUUCUUUCUGCCUGAUAAUUAAAAAGUUUAAACCAUUGGACUCUUUUUGCAUUCAAAAUGUAAUGCGUCAUGUUUAUAACAUAUGUGUUGAUGUAAUGAAAUUAAUGGUUGUAGAACAAUCACUAGCUGGCAACUUUACCUGCUGAUCUAAACAAUGAUUCAUAACAGUUCAAGGGAUCACAAAGUUUACUAUCCAAAGACUGCAUCAUUUUUUCCUAUCAAAUUUUGAUUGGCCUAAUAAUGACUUACUAAGUGAUGUAACAUUUAAGGUUAAGUAGGAAAGAGCGAGGAAGUGGGGACCAAAAACACUGCCCAUACAUAGAAGGAAGGAAGUCACAUUCAAAAUUCGUAAUAAGCACAAUAAAAACAAAAUAUAAUGUAUUUAUUUAACCCUAGGUUACCAAUCACAAACCAGAUGUAGACUCUAGCUCGCACACAUCUCAAAUAGUAGCUUAAAUAAAAACCCCUUUCUCUGUAUCCAAACUUCACUUCAUCCAACUCAAAAAGAAGGAGAGAGAAGCUAGCUAUACAACAAAAGUAGGGAGAGAGAGAGAGAAACCCUACAAAAUAAAAAGGAAGAAGAGACGAAGAUGAAGACGAUCCAGCUUGGAUUUAGUUGUUCAUCAUUACUACUCUCUUCUUGGUAGCUUCGACAACAAAACAAGAAGAAAAAAAAGGUCAACUUAAAGAUCUGAGCUCUUAGAUCCAUCAGUCUCUUCUUUAUUUUUAUCCAAUUCAUCACGCCAUCGAAUCAUACAUCAUGGAUGGAACACAAAGCUCACUCCCUCCUCCUUUCCACUCAAGAGACUUUCAGUUACAUCUCCAACAACAACAGCAACAGCAACAAGAGUUCUUCCUCCACCAUCACCAGCAACAAAGAAACCAAACCGAUCAAGAUGACCAACAAGGAGGAGGAGGAAUAAACCGACAAAUCAAGAUGGAUCGUGAAGAGACAAGCGACAACAUAGACAACAUGGCUAACAACAGUGGCAGCGAAGGUAAAGACACAAACCAAGGAGAAGGAGGAAGCGGUGGCGGCGGCGGCUCAGGAGGAGAUCAGAUGACAAGAAGACCAAGAGGAAGACCAGCUGGAUCCAAGAACAAACCAAAACCUCCGAUUAUCAUCACGCGGGACAGCGCCAACGCGCUUCGAACCCACGUGAUGGAGAUUGGCGACGGCUGCGAUCUAGUCGACAGCGUGGCCACUUUCGCACGCAGACGCCAGAGAGGCGUUUGCGUUAUGAGCGGUACUGGAAACGUAACAAACGUCACCAUACGUCAGCCUGGAUCUCCAUCUCCUGGCUCGGUCGUUAGCCUUCACGGAAGGUUCGAGAUUCUCUCUCUCUCGGGAUCUUUUUUACCCCCGCCGGCUCCUCCUAACGCCACAGGGUUAAGCGUUUAUCUCGCUGGAGGACAAGGACAGGUUGUUGGAGGAAGCGUGGUGGGUCCUUUGCUAUGUGCUGGACCUGUGGUAGUCAUGGCGGCUUCUUUUAGCAAUGCGGCGUACGAGAGGCUUCCCUUAGAGGAAGAUGAGAUGCAAACGCCGGUUCACGGAGGUGGAGGUGGAGGAGGAGGAGGAUCGAUGGAGUCGCCGCCGAUGAUGGGAGGACAAAUGCCACAUCAGCAACAAGCUAUGUCGGCUCAUCAAGGGUUACCACCUAAUCUUCUUGGUGGUUCAGCUCAUCAAGGAUUACCACAGCAUGAUAAUCAGCCUUAUUGGUCAACGGGACGACCAUCGUUUUGAUCACCUCGCCCCAUCGUAGCUAGCUAUAUGUAUAUUUAUAGCUAGCUAACCGCAGAAUCACGAGUUUAUGAACGAAUAAGACUAUGAACUUAGUCGAGGACGAUCGAGUUUCAUUAUAUUUGGGUCGACAUGUAUCAGACGAAUCAGGUUUUCUUUUUCCUUUUUUAAUUUCUCUUUUUGGUUCGUUUUAGCUAGUAGAUUUUCUAUGUUGAUUUGAAUAACAUUUUUCUUUGUUUCUUGCUUUUUAUUUGAUGAAUUUCCAUUGGUAGUUUAAAUUUACUUUGUGUUGUUGGCUCUAAGUAUGGUAUUUUCUUAUCAACAUUUUAUGGUGUUUUCGACAAUUUUUAUAGUUCAUAUUCUUAAUAUGGAACUAUUUGGAUACACAAAAGCUCGUUUAUAUGACAUGGUUGUUAGUAAUUGUUAUUGCUUUAAGUUUGAGUUUCCGAUAGGGAGAGAUGGUUUAUGCUUUUACAGGAGGCUUCCACAUAAAUUCUCAGACUUAGAGUUAACUACAUUAUACAAAAUACAUUUUAGCUCCAUAGUAAGUAUAUGUACGCUAAUUUACACAACAACUAUAUAAAUAUGCUGUAUAACUAAGACUGAUACUGCGGUCUACGUCAACUGAUAUAUACAGCAUAUCGAUGAACUGUAUUACACAGUUUCUAUUGACUCAAGCAACAAAAAAGUUCAAGGACGUUUCCUAAACUAGAAUGGCACUUAUUUUUAUUUUUUUGGGUCCAAACAUAAGUGCCUAAACUAGAAAAGCACUUCCCAAAUCAGAUAUGAUCUUUGGAUGGCAGUUAUACUCCGCAAGGAGCCAAAGGGAUUAUUAAUCAUGUUGAUAAUUAUUAUUGGUAUGAUGAAAAGGACUAAGUAUUUUUAUAAGUAAAAACAUUUUGUGGAGCCAAAAAGAAAAAAAAAAGUAAAACAUUUUGUAGUGAGAGUAUUCCAUCUCGUCUUUAAUCAUUAUGGAUAUUUAAUUUCAAUCAAUAAGUCUAUUUGGAUCAUAAUCACCCUUAUUUAGUCUUCAUAACAUAAUAAUGAUUGUGCUAUACACAUGUCGUUUGUCGGACUUAAACUUCUGUUGAUGAUGAAAUAAAAUCGCAUUUUUAUGUAAUGAGGAUGAUGUACAUAAACAUUAGUAUAUAUUAGUAUUCAUUUGUAUAAAUACUAAUAUAUAGUACAUAAUAAUGAAAUAACAUAAUAAUGAUUGUGCUAUACACAUGUCGUUUGUCGGACUUAAACUUCUGUUGAUGAUGAAAUAAAAUCGCAUUUUUAUGUAAUGAGGAUGAUGUACAUAAACAUUAGUAUAUAUUAGUAUUCAUUUGUAUAAAUAAACAUAUGAUUCUUAAUAUAUAAUGUUUACGUACAUCAUUUUUUUAUAUAAGAAAAAGCUGCAAAACCGGCGGCUUAAACGGGGGUUAACAAUUUACGAGAAAAGUUAAGAGGUAUGGGAGCUUUAUGUGCAUGUUCUCUCUUCAUACAGAAACUUAUACGCUUACAUAUGAGCAUCAAUCAAUAGAUCUUUAAGUGUGUGUAUAUAUUUACAUAUAUACUAUGUAUGUAUACGCACAAAUAUAUGUGUAUAUAUACGUGGAUAAGGAGACACUACAUUUGUUCAACUGCUGCCUCACACGUGCGCUUGCUGGUGAAUACCAUGUUCUUUCGGGACUACCAGCUACAGACUCAUAUUUAUGCAUACAAUGUUUACUAUGCCUGAUAUAGUCAUGUGUAUAUAGUGUAAUUAUACAGAUAUAUUAAGUAGCUAAAUUAUUGACUUUUUAUAAUAAAAUAACAUAAAAUACUAACAAGUAAGAUCAUUACAGCUCUUUCUCAAAAAAGAAAGUAAGAAAAUCAUUAUCAAAAGAACAUGGUUUUGCGAAUACAGUAAAUUGUAUAUAGAAUUAUUUGACCCUUAUUCAGGUUUAAAAGGAGGAAUGCCAAGUAGUGCAUAUAUAAAUAUAUAUGCUAAUCAACCUGCCAAGUUUGCUUCUUCCUUUGAUGGCUAUUGUGAUGUAUUAGACUCUAGUGAUCCUCCUAGUUGGCUUUUCCUUUAUGUUGGAGCAGGAACUGAAAGUUAUUGAUAAACAUAAUAUAGUUUAUUUUUGAUAAUUAAAAGGUCUUACAACUUUAUAAUAGUUUUAAAAAUUCAGAGUUUAAAAUAAAUGUUUUAUCUAACUGUAACGAGAACCACCCGUCAUGACAGAAAAUUUUGGGUAAUGAUUUCUUGAUGCAGUGGAAAAAAGACAUCUAGCAUAUACAUGUGGGCUUUUAGACAAGGCCUAUAAAUAUCUAUUUAGCCAGAAAUUUGCAGGAGAGAUGGGCCGAAUGAGCAUUUUAAUCCAGUAAGUUUAACUUGAAAUCUUAAUGUCAAUUUUACGAAACCAUAUUCAACAAAAAAAAUGAUGAAUAAAUAUUUCACGUGGCACAUCUGACGCCUCGUAACCAUUCGGAAAAAUGAGAAACAUAAAAUAAAAUUGCUGACGACCUCAAGUCCAUGAUUGAAGCAAUUUGCAUCACAAUCGCUAAUAAAUAUGAUGAUAAUAUAGACGUUUCACAACAACAUUCACAGGUGUACAACUUGACAAUCUGAUUCCCGACACAACACAUCACAUUAGUUGGUACUAGUAUAUCUUAUUCUUAUCCUAUAUACUAAUCAAACAAAAUUUCAUAUGACGAAAAAACACGAGUUAUAGAUAAGAUUGACAUCUUAUUAAAUUAAGAUGUAAUUAUCUAUCAAUUGUUUGCUUAAAUAUGUAGUUUGAAAUUGUCAAUACUUUAAUAAAUGUUUGCUUAAAUAUGUAGUUUGAAAAUGUCAAUACUUUAUAAUAAUACAUGUUUAUUUUGACACGACUAUUUCAUGUGAUUUCUCUCAUCAAAGUCCAAACUUGACCAAAGUUCUUAAAUAAAUCCACAGGCCAAAAGAAGCUUUGAUAAAUUGAUUUUACAAGUUACCCACAAAGAUUAUAAUCCAUACCUGAAUAGCAUGAAAUAGAGAUGACUGAGUUUGUUUGACAAAAAAAAAAGAGAUGACUGAGUUUAUUAAAGAACCAAAUUCAUCAUCUUACCCCCCUUUGGAAACAAUCCACUAGUAGAAACCCAAUUCCAUUCAAAUACAAUUUGAGAUAAAAGAAAAGAGAGACCAACACCAUAGCCUUUCUCAGAACCUUUGAAGUUUAUCAGCUUUAAUAACCGGAUUGGCUUUUGCAAUCUCUCCACGCCCAGCUUCUUUGAAAUCAAAGCUGCAAUCAUGUCUCUCAGGGUACCGAUGUUCGCCGCAGAAAGUGCUCCCGCAUUUGCACUUAAACCCAAGUAUACCAACCUUCUUGUUGCAACAAAGGCACCGGUUCGGCCGUGCAGGUUUAGAUGGUGGUUCGUUCUGUUCAGGAACUGUAGCUUCUCCUGUUGCAGAAGAUGGCUCGGCCACCACAAGAACAGUAGCAACCGCCUUUUCUUUCUCUGGUUUCGCCACAUCAGGCUCUGCUAUGAAGAGGGUAGGAGGAGGAGGCGAUGGCGAUGGCUUGAAAGAUUUCUCAACGGCAGCUUUUGCAACAGCUGUUUGAGCUUCCUCUGCGCAUAUGUCUCGGUAGCAUUUCGAACACAGAUCCAUGUUUGAUGGCGAACCAAAGAAACCACAUCCGUUUGCACAAAGUUUCGGCUCUGAUGAUUGUGUGAAGCUCGUGCUAUCAUUCUGUUCAGAACCCAUUCUUCCUGUUUAAAAAAAAAAAACACAAAUUCAAAUUCAAAAAAUUCAAAAUCACUUAUUCGACCUUUUUUUUUUAAUAAUCCAAAUCAUUUCGAAACAGACCGAAUCAAAUUCACACAAUUACAGCAAAAAAAAGAAACUCGUCGAUUACAAGUAGAUCCGAGACAAAACAAGGUUCAGUUACAGAUCCGACAAGACAGUCAAAUAAAACAAUAAGAUCAAUCAAGACGAAAGAUUCUAACCUGUUGGAACCGUGAGAUUUCUUCCUCUUUAGAAAGAAUUUUAUAUAACAGAUUCAGGAAAUGAAUCUGAUCUAUCGGAAUAAAAAGUGAAUCUUAAUCGGAACAAGAUGUAUUAUGAUUUGUGCUUAAUAGAUAAGAAUUGAGAACGAAACCUUUCGUUACCAAGAAAGAAAAAGAAAUAUGAGAGAGAAAUGAAACCGAACACGUAACUAUGAAGAACAUACAUCUGUCUUUGUAUAUAUUAUAUAAAUAUAUUGAUGAGUCACGCGUGAGAUUUUACCUUUUAGGAUAUGCGCCGGUAUAAUAUUCUUGUGCAUUACGCGUUAUUGUACACCUUAGGAAUCUUAUCUUUCCGAUUUUGAAGCCCAUCUAUUUUGACGGUCCUGAUUUAUCAUUGGGCGGCUGAUUGGAAUAAUGGUUCGGUUCGUUGUAUAUAACAUCAAAAAAUGUGUCUCUGUUCUUCUUCUUCUUUUAUGCGGAGUACGCACCGAGUUCAGAUAUUUGUUUGAUUCAGUUUUCAAAAUCUUGUAUUUUGGUAUUUAAUUGUUAGAAGUGUAUGUAGUUGAGUGCAGUUGAAAGGUUUUGCAUGUUUAAAAAGGUAUUUAAAUAGGUAUGAUUUUUACCGCGAGUUAGUGUUUUGAAAGUGUUUAUAUUUUAGGAUUGAUAAAUGAGAGCAUGGUUUGUAUUUUAGAGUUAUAUAUCUUAUAUAUUAAAACAGAAGUCACAACCUUGAUUCAUGUGUGAUUUUUUUUUAAAAUGGACCCUUGCUAGAAAUCAAUUAUCAUUCAUUUAUUACUAAUAAUAUGAAUUAAUAAUAUAUCAUUCCUAAUAUAACAUCGACUCCUAAAAACCUGGAUUGGUUAACAAACUCACAUUGAUUCAUGUGCGAUAUUUUUAUUUGGAUCAUCAUUUAAAUUUUUUUAUUAAAUGUAUUUCCUUAAUGCUAAUAUAUAAUCUUUUAACUACUUAAAUCAUAAUAUAAUUUGAUAUCUUUUUAUUUAAAAUAUAAAUAUAAAUAUAUUUUUUUAACAAAUGUUUGAAAAACAUUAUAAAAAUAUCUUAAUUAUCAAAAAUUGUAUAUAAAUAGUUUCACUAAUUUUGUAAUUAGUAAUGAAAUUAAUGUUAUUAUACAUUAGUAUAUAUAUACUCAGUUAUCUUUUAUAAAUGAAAAAAAUUAUAUCAAAUUUUAAUAUUUUAUAGUUAUAUCUAUCAUUUUAUAAUAAAACAUUUUAUUUAACUAAAUAUGAUAAAAUUAUUUUAAACUGAUAAAUUAAUAUAUUUUAUUUUUACAAACAUUAAAAAUUUAUGCUAGAAAUAGAAUAUGUUGGUAGAACGGGUUAACAUUAGUAAAUUAGAUAAUUCAUGUAUAAAAUUAACUUAUCUUAAAACUUUUUUUUUAUAUAUAUAUAGUUAUUAUCUUAAAUGAAUAAACAUAAAAAAAUUAUUGAUAAAGGAAAUCUAGCGCUUUGAAUUACGGAUCAGGAUCAUAAUAAUUGAAUAAAAAUUAAUUUUAAAAUAUAUAUAAUAAAAAUACCAAAUAUAUGUGAUGAUUUGAAAUAAUCAAUUAACUUACAACAUGAAAAUUAUCAAAUUGUUAUAUUUAAAAUGAUUAUAUAAAUAUAUUCUAAUUAUGUAAAACAUAUAUAAAAUGAAAAUUAAUACCCGCACGGUUGUGCGGGUCCAAAUCUAGUGGUGUUUUAUUUUAGUGGAUUUAUUUAUAUUGAAUUUCGUUUUACUAAGUUAUGGUCGAGGGGCUAAGCUCAUAAACGCAUCGUUUUGAAACGAACAGAUAAAUUAAAUUUAAAAUGAAGUUUAAAUUUAACCAUCUCGUGUGACAUGAGUUCGAACUCUCGAAAUCGGUGGGUGUUUGUGUUUUAUUAUAAAGUUUGGAAAACCGUUAAAUUAUAUUUAUAAUCAAAAAAGCCAUUAUUUGUAUAGCUGAGUCAUAGUACAAUUUGCAUUUUAUUUGGUUAUGUUCUUAUAUGUUUGGCUUUUUCUUAUGUUUCUUUUAAGUUGUAUCCAAGUUGAGUGAGUCAAGGCAUCUACUGCUCUUAAAAGUAAACGAAAACCCACCAAAGAUAAACGGAGACGCAAAUAAACAAUCGCAAAGGCAGACAGGGUCACAAAGACAUUCCGUUUGUAUAACGACUCUCGAAACACAACGAACAACUACCAAAGGAAAACCAGAGAAUAUUCUACAGAGAUGGAGUCAGCGAUCUCUCUGAACGACAGAAAGAAAAGUUCUUCAACGACUGAAAGAUGUGUGUCAAACUGAAAGAGAAUAAUUAUGGAACACAAUUUUAUGAAGCGUGACAAUUUCAUGUACUUCACGCAUCAGUUGAUGCUCAACGUGUAGACUUCUGCGAAAUGCGAGAGAUAUGACUUACUGAUCAAGGCCUUAACAACGACAUCUUAGAAUUGGCGUCAUUUUUCCUUUCAGUUUUAAUAAAGAAUAAAGGUGGAAAGUAAGCAUAGAGUUGCAAAGUUAAGAUGAAAUUAAAUGUACAAAUCUGUAGCUUUGAUCCGUUUGCAUAAGAGACAAUGUAUUAGUACGGGAAACUUUAUUUAAAUUUUAUAAUAUUGGAGUCGAUAUAGGAACCGC
This 42509-nucleotide long non-coding RNA is filed under the name Brassica rapa (field mustard). Its description in RNAcentral is "long non-coding RNA (BRAP_LNC002214)". The stretch from base 21970 to 22042 matches the Rfam family "tRNA". The record is from RNAcentral. Lineage: Eukaryota; Viridiplantae; Streptophyta; Magnoliopsida; Brassicales; Brassicaceae.